This 420-nucleotide ribosomal RNA is filed under the name uncultured fungus. Its description in RNAcentral is "eukaryotic LSU rRNA". It matches the Rfam family "Eukaryotic large subunit ribosomal RNA", at positions 1 to 422 of the family's 3401-position model. Lineage: Eukaryota; Fungi. The record is from RNAcentral.
GACCUCGGAUCAGGUAGGGAUACCCGCUGAACUUAAGCAUAUCAAUAAGCGGAGGAAAAGAAACCAACAGGGAUUGCCUUAGUAACGGCGAGUGAAGCGGCAACAGCUCAAAUUUGAAAUCUGGCCUCAUGGUCCGAAUUGUAAUUUGUAGAGGAUGCUUCGAGCAUGGUCUGGUCUAAGUUCCUUGGAACAGGACGUCAUAGAGGGUGAGAAUCCCGUACGCGACUAGGUGCCUAAGCUCAUGUGAAGCUCCUUCGACGAGUCGAGUUGUUUGGGAAUGCAGCUCAAAAUGGGUGGUAAAUUUCAUCUAAAGCUAAAUACUGGCCAGAGACCGAUAGCGCACAAGUAGAGUGAUCGAAAGAUGAAAAGCACUUUGGAAAGAGAGUUAAACAGUACGUGAAAUUGUUGAAAGGGAAGCGC